GUCUUUAAGAUUAUAAUUUAAAGUYUAAUYUGCUCCAUGAUUUUAUUAAAUAGCUGCAGAAUUUUAACUGUACAAAGGUAGCAUAAUCAAUAGUUUUUUAAUUGAAAGCUGGUAUGAAUGAUUUGAUAAAAUAAUUAUUGUCUCAAAUUUAAUAGAAUUAGAAUUUUUUUUUUAGUUAAAAUACUAAAAAUGAUUUAAAAGACGAGAAGACCCUAUAGAUUUUUAUAAUUUAUAAAUUAGUAAAUUUUAAUUAAAUAAAAUGUAUUAAAAUUUAAAUUAUUUGGUUGGGGUAAUUAUUAAAUUAAUAAAAUUUUAAUUAUUUUUAAACAAAAAUUAUUGAAUUUUUGAUCUUAAAAUAUAAAUUAUUAGAAUAAAAUACCUUAGGGAUAACAGCGUAAUUUUUUUAGAGAGAUCAUAUUAAUAAAAAAGUUUGCGACCUCGAUGUUGAAUUAAGAUAAAAUUUUAAKGUAGAAGUUAAAAAUUUUUGGUCKGUUCGACCAUUAAAAUCUUACG
This 513-nucleotide ribosomal RNA is filed under the name Thrybius sp. 1 BFS-2018. RNAcentral's name for it is "partial 16S large subunit ribosomal RNA". The stretch from base 386 to 513 matches the Rfam family "Archaeal large subunit ribosomal RNA", at positions 2544 to 2671 of the family's 2987-position model. The record is from RNAcentral. Lineage: Eukaryota; Metazoa; Arthropoda; Insecta; Hymenoptera; Ichneumonidae.